RNAcentral lists this small RNA (123 nucleotides) under Marmota monax (woodchuck). Lineage: Eukaryota; Metazoa; Chordata; Mammalia; Rodentia; Sciuridae. The record is from RNAcentral.
GCUGGACGUGGUGGCACAUGCCUGUAAUCCCAGUGCCUCUGGAGGCUGAGGCAGGAGGAUUGCAAGUUCAAAGCCAGCCUCAGAAAGCGAGACGCUAAGCAACCCAGUGAGACCCUGUCUCUA